ACCCUUUAAUGUUUGAUGUUCUAACGUAGCCCCGUUAUCCGGGGUGCGGACAGUGUCUGGUGGGUAGUUUGACUGGGGCGGUCUCCUCCCAAAGAGUAACGGAGGAGCACGAAGGUUGGCUAAGCAUGGUCGGACAUCAUGCGGUUAGUGCAAAGGCAUAAGCCAGCUUGACUGCGAGAGUGACGGCUCGAGCAGGUACGAAAGUAGGUCUUAGUGAUCCGGUGGUUCUGAAUGGAAGGGCCAUCGCUCAACGGAUAAAAGGUACUCCGGGGAUAACAGGCUGAUACCGCCCAAGAGUUCAUAUCGACGGCGGUGUUUGGCACCUCGAUGUCGGCUCAUCACAUCCUGGGGCUGAAGUAGGUCCCAAGGGUACGGCUGUUCGCCGUUUAAAGUGGUACGCGAGCUGGGUUUAGAACGUCGUGAGACAGUUCGGUCCCUAUCUGCCGUGGGCGUUGGAAGAUUGAAAGGGGCUGCUCCUAGUACGAGAGGACCGGAGUGGACGCACCACUGGUGUUCGGGUUGUCAUGCCAAUGGCAUUGCCCGGUAGCUAAGUGCGGAAGAGAUAACCGCUGAAAGCAUCUAAGCGGGAAACUUGCC
This 597-nucleotide ribosomal RNA is filed under the name Providencia rettgeri. Its description in RNAcentral is "partial 23S ribosomal RNA". It matches the Rfam family "Bacterial large subunit ribosomal RNA", at positions 2202 to 2798 of the family's 2925-position model. Lineage: Bacteria; Pseudomonadati; Pseudomonadota; Gammaproteobacteria; Enterobacterales; Morganellaceae. The record is from RNAcentral.